Molecule: long non-coding RNA, 11600 nt
Organism: Numida meleagris (helmeted guineafowl)
Lineage: Eukaryota; Metazoa; Chordata; Aves; Galliformes; Numididae
Exons: 12
Source: RefSeq, a predicted model, not a curated record
CAGGCCGGGCGGCCGCGCGAAGCCUGCUGGGAGCCGGGCUCCGCCUGGGCGCGGAGCCGGGCCUCUGCGCGCAAGGGCUGCCGGGAGUUGUAGUGCGCGGCUCUUCCCACGGGAGCUUGGCCGUGUCGCCUCACCUCGACGUUACCUCACGUCGCCUCCCCUCGCCUUGCCUGUCCCCGAGGCCCCAGUAAAUACUGUCACACACUGUGGUGGAACCGGGGCUUUGUGCCCUCUUCGGCUUGGGGAGCAGCCGCAGCCCAGCCCUGCCCUGCCCUCAUACCGCCGCAGCACCAAACCUGUGGUGAGCGCUCACCUUGCCGCCAAGUGAGGCACAAGGGAGGGAAAGAUCUGUACAAAUUGCUGUUAAACCACAAAGCACAGGCAUAAGGGUCAUGCCUGACUGGACAUAAGGAGCUCAUUACAAAGUAGCAUUCUGUCUUCACAACUGUUUCUUUACUGGUAACCCCUUCCCUGAAUUUCGGAAGGACUUGCUGGAUUCCUCCCCGAGGCCUACGUGAGGAUUUCCAGAAGAGGAACAACGCAGGAAAGCAAACAGAAGUGUGAGGCAUGUGCACGUGGGAAGAAUCAUGUACAUUAAAGCUUCCUCAGGAAUAUUAACUGAUUUAAUUUAGUGUCCUGAUUUCACCUGGGAUAGAGUUUUCACCAAGCAUUGAAGACCAUCUUCAAAUACUGUCUAUGCAGGGCAGUAAACAGACAUUGCAGCUCCUUGGAUGGAAUUAAAGGAGUGAAGUCAGUUAAGUGACAUUAUAAUCAGGAUUCUGAGAUUACUUCUUUACAUGCAUUCACUUUUGUACUCUAUCAACUUGUUUUCAUUGUGAGUUUUGAAUGAACAGACAUGAAGGAGGAUUUUCUUCUUAAAAGAAGUGGAAAUCUGUUGGCUACUUCUGUUGGCAAGUCACAGGACAAAGCAGAGUGCCUGGGUAUCACGGACAAGGACUGCCCUCUUGUUUUGUCCACCAGAAGCCUGUGAAGUGUGAAGCCUUCACUCACUGCCAAAUGGCCACCAGAGGAUUUGAUUUGUCAAUAAGCUGCACGAAUACCCAGGCCACCUCCAUCUGCUGCUGUGACAGAACACAAUUAACAGGAAAAUCCCAGACCCUCUCCUCCUCUGUCUUGAUAUUGGAGUUUUCUGGCUGAGCGAUUUGACAUCAUCAUCAUCACAGACAUUUCCCCUAUCUCUAUAGCAACGUAUGAUGAUGCCACAAACAGAGGAUUAUGCAAUCUGUGUAGACUCAGAUGGACGGAGAGGCAGGGCUGGGAGCUCUGAUUUAAACACAAAUGUCUCUAAUAGCAGCAAGGGGAAUACAGAAACUUUUUGGCCAAGGAAAUGGUUUUUGUAUAAACAUUCUCAUCUUCCAAGUUUUGCUCCGGUGGGAAAGUUUCUCCUUAAAGUCCUCUUAUACAUAUGUGUGUUGUAUAUACACAUUCACACACAGAUAUAUUUAUUUGUGUGUGAAGGAAUGCAAUGAUUAUGCAAAUGCAGUAUUGUUCCCACCAUUGUGCAGGCAGGGAUGCUGCCAGCCCCCUACACACGACCUCUAACGUGUCUAAGACCUACUAUGCUGCGCUCAUGUCAGGCACAAAGGUGCAGUGGAUCUGCCCAGACCUCGUGUUCCCUUUUUAGUAGAGGGCUGCCCCAUCAGACCCUGCUGAAUAUCUGUUUUUCAUGUAUGAUAUGGAAAUGUUUGUGUCCUUGGCUAGGUGGGACCAGCAUCCUCCUCAUUCAGACUCACUCUGUCCUUUCCCUACCAGCUUUGUCCUGCAGUUAAUGCAUAAGAGGAGAAUGGCCAAUUUGAAAUCUCAGCCCUCGCAAAGACUUUCCAGCUAAGCCUUAGGAAAUGCCUUUGAUGCCCUCUCUGUGCCUCAGUUUCUCCUGCAGUGGAACUAAUAAAUCUCAGUUCUUAAGGAAGUGGUGAGAAUAACUCCACUCUCAUUUGAAUGCUCAGACUCUUCAGUAAAGGGGUCCAUGGAGACUUUGAAAAACACACCUAUGGGUGCUUCUUCCAUGUUUAUUUUGUAUUUAUUGAACAUACAAAUGCAUCCUAUCUAGCACGUGUCAGAAUCAAUAACUGUGCCUUGUUAGCAGUUUUUCCAUUUAUGGCAUAUUGUCCUGACAUAGCUGGAGAACCUCAAUGAAUAUGGUUUUAAUAACCCAAUGGUAUUUAACGUACAAUCACUGUCUUAUUAAGUCUAAAUUAAAUCCUUACUUGAGACAUUUAAUUUAAAGUGUGACUGAUCUUUUCCUGGCCUGGAAGAAGAUACUUAAAUGACACUUCUUCCAAUUUGGCCACGUGGCUGAGGGGGUGGGAUUUAAAUUAUGUAUUUUGAUGGAACUACUAAUCUGGUUAAAGCUGAAUUGCAUCAUUUUAUGAACACUCAGAGACAGGAUCAAAUUAAACCCAACUUCUCACCAAGUUAACUCAGCUGAGCCUCAAGCCUCGCACUGCAUUCAAAACACACACUUACUGUGACUAUCCACUCAGCAGCAUCUGCUUGGCUUUUCCAAAGGAAAAAAUGAAGUGCACCAUAUUUUUCUACUCAGAGCCUCUUGUGGGGUGCCUUUUGAGUUGACAAAGACAAGGCUUACAUUCUGCUGUGGGCACACUAAUAAAAUAAACCUAAUAAAAUAAACAUUACAUGCAAUAACGAUGCUACUAAAUCUAAGUUCAAUGUGUAGCUAAAGUGUUACCCACAGAUCUAUUUAGAGCGAUGUGCCUGGACUUCCUUCCAUCCUUUCCCAACCCAGAGUCACAUAAACAUUCAUUAAAUUGAAAGCAUUGUCAGGGCUAAUGGGAGUUUCCACAAGCAACUUUGGCACAUGCAAAACUGAGGAGUGUGCAGAGCAUACAGAUAGAUGACGUGCCGUGACUUCUGCAUGCCAAGGCCAUCACUGAUGAAGGGCUGGUGUGGGAAGACAACAGAAACAGAAACUAUCACAUACUUUGCUGCUGUCUUUUGUGUUUGGGCCACACAAUGAUUUUUUUGUUGGAUGGAUGCAAGUUGUGCAGUUGAAGGCGCACAGGAAAGGACAGCAUCCUUUGGUACAAGGCAGAUGCGGGACGUUCAGGUUAGUCUCUGGAAGGCAGCGCACCCAAGGGACUAGGGCAGUGAAUGGGGAACUUGGAGAAGGAGGGGCACUGGGCUGUGGGGUGCCUUCUGCUAGGCCCUGGCUCCUUGGGCAGUUGCUGGGGGGACAAGGUGGAGAGUGGCUGGGGCAGCACACCUUCAUUUGAAAGUUACGGUCCUGAAAGCAAGGAGAAAGUGUGUUGUUUUUUUUUUUAACAUCAUUACCGCUAUAGUCUGCAGUGAGGGCAGCAUAACACUUCAAGCUGAAAUAUUCGUAUUCUUAUUAUGUCCUCCAUCCAAGAAUUUAACUGCUAUUUGGUUCAGUUCAGUCUAGAUGAUUGAUUUCUCCUGGAUGCUGUGGUGAGAACUGUUUUAAUAGUUUACAGAUGGACAAAUGAAACAGGGAGGUGUCCAAUGUGUUGCCCAGCACUGCAAGCUGCGCCAGUGGCAGAAUGAUUGUAUCCCUGCUUGAUCCCAGCCAGGGAGUGAUGGAUGCAAGUUUGUUCUUAAAUAAUGAAAAAAAAAUUCUUUGGAAGGAAUUUGCGUUUUCUAGCCUGUUCUCCCCGCACAACAAAUACAAGAAAGCUGAGAGUACAAUUGGUACAACAUCGUUUGAGCAGAAGUCUGCAAUACCUUGGCAGUUGGAAUUCCACCAGAUAAGCAAUAUUUGAUUAAUAUUGGACAGCAGGAGGAGAUAAUAAAGGAUAGUAUGGACAUAUUGGAGAAGCACUCAGAAGAGCUACUCAUGGAUUUGCAAUAUUCCAGCACAGAUUGCCAAUGUUGCAUUAAAAUAUUGCCACAGAAGCAUUUCCCUAGACCUAGUGCAGGAUAAACCAAUGAACAACCCCCUCCUCCCCUGUUCCACAUACCUCCUUCUGUGAUAUUUCCACCCAUUUCCUCUGUCUAUUGCCUGUGGCUUGAGCAAGGUUCAUUCAAAUGAAUUUAAAGCAGGGAUAAAUAUUGUCAAUUCAAAUCACGGCUUUUCAGUCUGUCCCCAGGGUUGUCCCCAGGGCAGGCAUCCCUUGCUGAAACAGGUCAUAUUCCCUCUCUAGAUGAGGCUGUUGAGUCACGAAGAAAAGGUGAGGGGUGGCAAGAGAAAGACAGGGAAGGGAAAAAACUAGCAAGCGAACAAACAAUUUGCAGAGCAAGGAGGACAUUUGAGCUCUUGUGUUUCUUUUCUCAUUGUAGUUUAUUCCAAAUCCUGCCACAGCCUUCCUGGAGGAGGGGGAAGGGCAUCGGCUGAUUUGCAUCUUAUGUUACUGCUGACAGUAGGAGGUCUUAAUUGGGGCACCAAAGAGCAGGUGUAUGCUAACGUUAAUCUUCCCUUUCACCUGUCACUCAUGCAAUGAAUAUGAUCUCUCCCUCUCAUUAGCAGCGCUCUGUCACAUGCUGGAGAGCUUUGGAAGGGUCCCUCUGAAACUUGUGGGGAUUGAUUUUGCUGCCUGCACUGGGUUAUUACUGCCAUGCCCUGGACAGCCACUCCCCAGGAGCACAGCCAUGCAGUGGGUGUACGGACAAGCGCUGCUUAAUAGUCUCAAAUCAUAUGUGCCUUGGAAAAAUGAACAUUAAUUCCUGUAUUGGCUUUACAGAUAGAGACUGACUCAUUUUGAAAAUAACACAUCGUGCCUUGAGUGUUGCAGAGAUGACCUUAGGAGGAAAGUUAAUUUAGAAAAGAUACUCAAUUUGGUAUUAUCUCCAAAUGUUGAUUCCUGGAAUCAUUACUCAUUACUUAGUCAGGCAAAACUUCCCUGGAUUUCAAGGGCUCUGGCUGGUGCCAAGAGGAAACUGGCCUGGGAGAGGAUGAAAUCGUAACUCCAGAAUUUGAACCUCUACCUCUUGCAGUUCACCUACCAUAGCAGCGAAGGGCUAACCCUUUGCUUGAACAGUGUGGAUUAUUAGGAAACAACCAUGAACAGCUCAAAGAAACCAAACUUUAUUUGUUUUGCCUUCAUGCACUAGAGAGGAAGCAGCACAAACUCUGCAUCUUGGGAGGAACCUGCAGAAAGGACUGCGAUCUCCGUCAGCCGGCUGAGUGUCCUGUGCAGAGAGAAGAAAAAAAGGAAAGAUCUCACAAAGAGUUUAUCUGAACUUUAUACAUUCUUGUAGUGCUGCUCUGGAACAAGUUCUGCUUUGGUUCACUCAGAGUUCAAUCUUUGGAGACUUAAAGUGCUCACUCAAAUGCACUGAACAAGAGGAAUGCUUCAGCUCCAAUCAGCUCCUGUCUUCUUUGGAAAUGCUGGCCCUGAGGCUCUGCCUAAUAACCUGUGAUCAGCAUCCCAGUCAUGUGCUGGAUAGACAACUGAAGAAGCUCACAGACCUGUCUUUCCACGAUUUGGACAAAGCAAAUAAGAUGGCGUGAAGAAGAGGUUCAGGAAUUCUAGUGGCAACCGCUACUAUUACAAAAAUAAAGACCUACAGCUUCCCCAAAUGGCAAACCCUUCAUGAAGGACACAAAGCAGCCCUUGUGCGACGUGACGAGGAAAACUUUUCCCUGGCAUUCUCAUGAAAGUAGAUCUGUUGGUGAAAGCUCCUGAGAGGAGCGGAGACGGAGAGGAAACGAGGCGCCGUCCCACUGAAAUCAGCAGGACUCUGGUGCUCUGAGGAAGGCAUACAUAUGCCUGGAUUGAGUUGAUAUUUACAGAAGGCUCCUUUUGAAUUGGCUUUUGAUUAUACACCUAUGUCAGAGGGUGGACAGUGAGACUCAGUGCGACUUGUUUCCACGUGAGAAAGAUGAUGAAAGAUUGCAAAGCUCCCCUUGCGAUUAAAACUGUUGAAACAGCUGGUAGCGGGUAGCCGUUCUUGCCGGGCUAUUUCCUGACAUCAGUCAGCAUCCAUGGGGCUGCUGCAGCCAUCGGAGCCCGAGGAGAGGUGGCCACGUCCUGGCUGUCCCCGCACCCUCGAGGAGCUGCCCGUGUCGUGCAGUGCACCCCAUUGCACAAGGGGUGAAUCUGGGCAGCGCAGCAGCAAAGCCACAGAACACACUGUCAAAAGCCAAUGAAUGCUGAAAUUAAGAGACUGUUGGAAAGUUGACCAAAAUGAGGAUUUGCAUUUAAAAAAAAAGAAACAGAGCACCUUCACCGCCUAAUGGGAAGGCUGAUGAGCAAGGUACAUCGUUUGAGGUGGUUUGUCCAGUGUGGAAAACUUGCUGGGGCAAAAAAAUGGUCUUUGAAUGUGCUGGUGUCAGUCUCCAUGUAUGGAAACUAGAUGUCAUCUGCUGCCAAGGUGAGUGCUGAGCAGAUGGGGCAGGGCAGGAGGGUGAAGGAUAGCACAGGCAGAGGGACGUCCCAGGACAGCAUCUGUGUCCACCAGCCUGGGGUGGAGAAGCCUUGCCAUAUUUGUGGAGGGGGAAAUGGGAAUAGAAAGCCCCUCAGGCUGAGGAAAGCUUAGGAACAGGUUUCAGGGCUUGGACGCACACAGCUUAACCUCAGAUGAAGGGGACCAUAACAACAACUGUCACUGCCCCUUUUGCUGUUGAAGCAAACAAGCACUGUGCAGGUUUUCAGCAAUCACAUUCAGCACCAUAGGGCUGAGCAUACCAGCUCUGGGCUGCUGAAUUCACAGAGCUGAAGAGCUCAGCCUAGAUUAAGACACAUUCGAAGGAAAAAAGGGAGUGAGAAAGGAGAGUUCAGGUCAACCCAGCUAGCAAGCACUGCUUUCAGGCAAUGAACAGUGAUAAAAUGACCAAAGCAAGUCAUUGGUGUUGGGUUGUAUUAUCUGCAAGCUUUGGCAUUUUCCAGCUGAAUGCUUGCCACUUCUUCCUUCUCAGCCCUCUGCUGCUAUUAUUUUUACAUCAUGACUGUUGAGGAGUGUAUCAUUCAUAACAUACCUAUCGCAGAGAGAUUCCUUUUUAAAUGCUUAGGGAGAUAGAGGGCUACAAACCCUGGGAAAUCAACUAUGCCUAAUAUAUUAUGUAGAAGUUCUGUAAUCAUUAUUGAACUAAAGUGCAUUGAGUAAGUGGAUAAAAUCAGUCCCACUGUAGCAUAAGUCUCCAGAGAGCACAGAUAAAAAUGCCUGGUACUUAAGUAGAAAAAGGUAACAAAAUAUUUCCAGUCCCAGCAACUGCAUUUUCCCCUCUAUAUAAAUAGGGAACCCUCAGGAGAAGGCAAUGAUGCAGCAGAGGUUGAAGGCAAAGUUAAUGGUGGCGCAGUGGGGGAGCGAGGCAGUGCCUGGGGCAGGCUGAUGAUGAGUAACGUGCCGUGGAAAUGAGGCCGAAGGCAGAGCCUCCCUGGCAAGGAGGCAGAGGGGUGCAGGCAGGCCCCCGUGCAAAGCUAUGGGGCAGAGGGGAGGCUGAGAGGGCACAGAGAAAGGUCGCAGCCCUACAGCCUCUCAAUGAGUCUGGUACAAGGUUUUAGCUCCUCUUUCCUCUAAACACUGCAGAGAAGUGAAUGUUUUACCAAGGGUCCUCCUUGAGGCUUGCUUUCUAGAGUUUGUCAUGGCUCUUGCACAGAGUGACACAGUUUCCCACCCCAACACAAACACACAUCUGCAGAUUUGUGCCUACUGACCUGAGCUGUUACCUUUCUACAAAGCCUCCUCACUGACAAAUUUAUCCUGAGGUUAUUCUCAGCAGGAUAGUCUGUGCCCCUUCAGAGCACUCCUGUAUGUAGCCAAACAGAACCAGUUCUUGCUGCACUCAUACACGUGGUCAAGAGCUGUCAGACUGCAAUGAAUCACCCCAACAUGGUGUACCAGCUGCAAUCCCACUGGAACCCUUGGAGGGUCUGGCUUAUUGUGUAAGGCAAAGCUUGCCAUGAAUAAAUGGGGGAGAAUUAGAGCUUCAUUUACUUUACCCUUCUGUAACAAAGGAAGAAGCAAAAAAUUUCACUCUCCCCACCUCAUACAAAGCAGGCUUUGGCUGGAUUGGGACAUACAGGACAGAGUUUGCUAUUGCAAGAAAGGGUUAGGUGAUCAUCUAAAUAGAAUUUUUUUUCAGCUGAGAUCUUCAGACAUGCAUCCACAUGAAUGAUAAAGAAGUUAGGAUCAUUAAUUGAAAAUGGGAAGGAAAAGUAUGUCAGAGCAUUUUAUUUGCUGCUCCUGUUGUAGGCCUGCACAGAAAAAGCCACCUAGAACUGCAGCCCCUGCUGUUAGGCUGUGACCUGGGUAGUCAUCGGCAUUCAAGUCCUGGAAUGACUAUAUUAAAGUUUUCAAAGAUGUGUGCUCUUUCACAUGACCUGCCAAUCAUGUUGGAGCAGUGCCAUAAGCUCUGGACUAGCUGUAUCCUCAGGGGCACCAAGGAGAGGAAGACAGAGGAGAGUUGUGGGGUUGGAACUAUUACUUAUUUAUCUAAAGUAUUGACCUGACCUCCCCUACUGAAAUAUCAGCAUUAGCUGCUAGGGAAAAGGGAUGCCAGAGCAGAUCCUUCUGGGAAAUAGGGGAAGCAGAGAUGUCAAAUGAGGCCCAAAUCAGGCAGCAUCCCACUGAGAUAACAGGAGAGGGUGAGGGGGGAUGAGGGACACAACAGAGACAGGCAGGGAGGUGGCAAUGACUCAAGAGUGGGUGGGCAAGGAGGCAGCAACCAAAAGGACCAAAUAUCUUGCUGAAGCUGUCUGGCAGACAACGGCAUGGCUGAGAUGCACUGAUAGUGAAUGAGAUGAACUUUGAAUGUUCACGAUGAGGCUUUGUGCAUAUUUACCACAAUGGUAAUGAAAUAUGUUUGUAAAAGGAGGAAGAAGCAAGUAGAAAGCGUUGCUUAAUGUCAUUAUGAAUGGAGCUGAAUGAGUGAAGGGUCACGGCUCUGAAAUGAUGAGAUGUGUGGUCCUCUGGAAUGUCUGAAGUAAGCACCCAGGCCCAAGUGAGGAAAACAGAGAUUGAAAUGGAAUUGGGAAAAAAAAAGUUACUGGGAUUCUUCAAGACAAGGAGGGCACGUCUCCUGUAGACAGCUCUGAAGAACGUGUUGUGCUUAGUCCCCAGCCAAGCAGACUGAGAGUGACAGUUAUUUCUUUUCUGUGUGUCCAAACUGAAGGCCUAACAUAGGAGAACAGAAAAGUAUAUUGCUGGUGCAUGAUGAAAGCAUAUAACAUUUGCCAUGCACCACAGAAACAGGUUUCAGUGACAAUGUCCCUUAAAAAAAAAGAAGGUGAUGAGUGUAAAUAAACAAAAGAUUCCUGAGAUGCAGUGGAUGUGUUUCUGAAAAAGCCCGGACAACGUGGGCUUUGAUAAAACAUCUCUAGAACUACUGUCCCAUGAAACAGGAGGGCACCAGAGCUGAGAUGUGACCAGGGACUCUGAGAGGCCUCUGACCAAUUGUUAGUACAGCAGCCUGGCUUGGACAUUUAUAAAAGGAUGGGUGAACAAGGGAUAUGAAACAGGAAGGAACAGAGGCAAUCAAGUGCAUAACAUAAAAUAUGUCUUCAGCUAACCCAUGAAAUAGCAGAAGAUCCAUGGACUGUGAUGCUAAGCAGGCUUAUGUAAAUGAUUACAUGAAGCAGCUGUGGCAUGAGCCUGUAGAUAUGGAGAAGGGCUCCAAAGGGAGUAAACAGAAACAAAGACAAGGCCAGGAAGCUGAUGGUGAAGGUAGCUUGCUUUGCUGAGGUUUCUUUAAACAACAAAAAAAUUAGAGGCAUUCCCAUAGAAAAACACAGUCAAUUCAAUGCCAGACAAAUUCUCAUUGGAUCCAAAAGACUGAAGCAAAACUCUGGUUCUGGACAGAGAACCAUUACUUAAUCUACAAAGAGGUUUCCUGAUAUUACAUCCUGAUUUUUUCAGACUGCUUUUUAGCUACAUGUGAUCUGACUUAUUUCCAGUGAGCAGAGAAACCCUGGCUGCAGUAAGAGCUGCCAGGAUCUAAACCACCUGAAAAGGGUGUAGGAGAAUUAUCCCAGGCAGAAGCAGCAGAUUUCUCAUGAAGACAGAAUAAGCGUGGGGCCAACAGCUCUCUUUUUCUCCUUUGACUACUGGGAUGGAUCUGCUAAUAUUUAAGAGAUAGCCAACACUUUUUACAUUGCAAGAAGCAACAUUCAGCUGCUUACAGUUGCAGCAAAUUUAAAUUUUCUAAGUAAAUUUCAAUUAAAUUUAAACUGAAAUCCCAACAUCCCUAUUUCUACCAAAGAAUGCUCAGAGCUUUGCAUUAGGCAUGGCAUGUAAAGGUUUUCAAUUUUCCCCAAAGUCUUAUGUGCGACAGCUACUUGAGGACCAGCUGGGUACCAUUGUGUCAUCCAUCCUCAUCCCAGAAGUAAAAUCCUUUAUCUUUCACUCCCACCAAAGAAGUACAAAAUGAGAUGAAACACGUCAAACCAGUUUGGUAGAUAAUGGAUAUGUCAUUUAGUAAUGGCAGUAGAAUAGAAAGGCUUUACAGGAAGGUCCAUCACGAUCAAGGAGCUACUUACAGCUCAGCAUACUUUGAUGCCAUUCUUGGAGCUGGCCAUGUGUGUAACUGAAGACGUGGUCCAGGGUGUCUAAGUGCAGUGGGUGUGUUGCCAUUGGCUUAACUGAUACCAAGAUGAAAACUUAUCUCCCUGGGUGUCUGGCAGUGAAUCUAAUAUGCCCUUGUUUUGUUCUUCAUGAUCACUACAUUUAGACAGCCAGCUCUUUGCAACUGGGUACCUAAAGCUAGAUAUGCUCCUGGAAUCCACCAGAAAUACAGGUGAGCUGUUCAAGCAAUCAACAGAAUAAAACGGUAGAAAUAGUAAGAAUAAUGAUAUGAUGGUGAACAGACAGCACUAUGAGUGAGGACCCUUUGAAUCCAUUAGCAACAGAAUAAGAGGAGUUUGAGUGCACCAGAGUUUGCCAUGUUUCAUUGUGUAAUUCCACGAAGUUCUGCUUCUCCUUAAUUUCAGAAAGACAACUCAGUAGCCUCUGGCUUCUACAUCUUAGUUUUUCUCAUCUACUAGCCAGAAAAAGAAUCACACAACUAGGAGCUGUAUUCACAGACAGGAAGUAACUUUAAUUAAAUAUUGUGAAAGUUGAAAAGUUUUUACAGCUUGAGUUUCUGCAAAAAAAUUAUAACAAUCUCUACAGUAGUUAGUUUCUCUAACAAUAGAACUGUACAGUGUGUGUGUCUAUUCAAAAAGAUUUAGAUAAGAAGGUGAAAGGUUAGUAGUUUCAGAGAUGACUUCAUUUUAGCUGCAUUCUAGUACAACUGUGAGGAAAUAGGCAUACUUGAUGCAAUCCAGUCAUUGUGAAGCUUCACCUUUUUAAAACUGAAAUCUGGACGUUUCCACUUAAAGCCAUAUUCUGUAAACAGCUGCAUCUUUUACUUUGUAAAAGAUAAGAGUGGUGCAGGGGGGGGGUUAUAAAGUCCCAUUCAACAGACCACUACAAAUAGCUGCAACAAAACAAAAUGAUGCACAUUGUCAGAGGAUCUUUGGACACUGGCGUAGAAGACUACAAACACAGAUGGCCAACACUGGUGUCAAAAUCGCUAUGACUUUGAGUGGAGCUCUACAAGAGUAACUGAUGGUGUCACUGAACAAAAUAUGGCUUUAAAUUUGAUUACAUUGUCGUGCUGUUGCUUACUAUGUGAAUUAGAAUAACCGUUUGGAAUACAGAGAAGCAAUAAACUGAUGUCUCUCACA